GGAUAGAGAAUAGUUCAUAGGACAGAUACUAUGGCAGAAAAGGCUCUAUGGAGCAUGCCCAUCUUGCUGGAUCAGCUUGAACAGUAUUGUUUCUUCUUCUGCGAUGAGAUGAAAAACAUUAAAUCAUACCAAGGUUCUGACCUCUGAAAUACUGACAGUGAAAACUGAAAAACUACUGAUACUGUUUUGGAAGAAAUGACUGGAGGCUAAAACAUAUGAAGAACGGUUGCAGGAACUGGGUAUGUCUAGUUUAAUGAAAAGGACUAGGGGAGACAUGAUAGCAGUGUUCCAAUAUCUCAGGGGUCGCCACAAAGAAGAGGGAGUCAAGCUAUUCUCCAAAGCAAUGAGUGGAAACGAAUCAAGGAGAGAAGCAAGUGUCUACUGAUCAUGCUGUAUAUGUUCACUGGUAUAUCGGUAUCCUAGACCAUAGAAAGUGUUCAUCUACCUUGAAAAUGUCUACUGUACUGGAUUUGAAUGUGUGUUGCUUGCCUGCCCCGGUUGUUUGCUUGGCCUGAUUAAUUAACUCAAAUACAGAAAUGAUGUUUCAAGCUCCAUUUCUCACCAAAGGAAUUUUGACUGAGGUAUAAAUGGAAAGAAGUUAGAAAUAUCCUUCUCACUGGAGAGAAAUUAAAGAAAAAAAGUCU
Molecule: long non-coding RNA, 644 nt
Organism: Pantherophis guttatus
Lineage: Eukaryota; Metazoa; Chordata; Lepidosauria; Squamata; Colubridae
Source: RefSeq, a predicted model, not a curated record